CUAUGGCUUGCAAGUAAAAAUCGACUCUUCACCAACGAAAGACGCUUCAACAGGGGCAUAUCUGACUCCAACUGCUGCCCGUUCUGCUCAGCCUCUGAAUCAAUGAGUCACCUAUUCCUUCAAUACCCCGAUCUUCGCCCUCUUUGGCAGGAACUGAGCUCUCUUUCUGCUUCAGUACCGUCGGACUUUCAGCAUCUUUGGGGCAUGGACCUGGCCAACAGACCAUGAUCAACGGUCAUCAUUGCUAUUCUCUGGAAUAUCUGGAAAAGAAGAAAUGCAAAAGUUUUUAGGCAGGAUUUGCAACCUAUCCACCUCAUCGCCCGCUCAGCUGCAGACGACCUCAUGCUUUGGUCCAAUAGAUGCUCCAAUGAGCAGGCCGUGAACCUUCUGAGUGAUUUGUGUACUAUGUUGUUCCACUUAUCUAUGAGAUUGUAA
Molecule: ribosomal RNA, 435 nt
Filed under: Triticum aestivum (bread wheat)
Lineage: Eukaryota; Viridiplantae; Streptophyta; Magnoliopsida; Poales; Poaceae
Description: partial small subunit ribosomal RNA
Source: RNAcentral